GAAAGAUAUUUUCGUCCCAAAGUUUGGGACGAAAACUGCUUUCCUCCCAAAAUUUGGGACAAACUCUCUUUUCGUCCCAAAAUUUAGGACUUAUCCCUAAUAUCCCCACCUACCCGAUACCUAAUUCUCUCCCCUCGCAGCCUCCUCGAUCGCGCGUUCUUCUUCUCUUCGAUCUCCCCUCCCUGGGGACGGCGGUGACGAAGGAGACGACGACGACGAAGGUGACAAAGCGUAAGCUCCCCCUCUCCUCUCUCUUUUCUCCUCCUCAACAGCGGCCAGUCGUGGGUGCCCUCGGUCGGUCCUGCUUGUCGUGUCCGCCCCUGGUGGCCAAGCGUGGCCACGUCCGACCCCUGGUGACCGCGUCCGACCCCUGGUGACCGCGUCCGGCCGCUAGUGGCCGCGACCGGCCCUUGGUGGCCGCGUCCGGCCCCUGAUGGCCGCGCCCGACCCCUGGUGGCUGCGUCCGCCCCCUGGUAGUGGAUCACUCGCUUGAUCCGACGCAUGUGCUUGACUUCGUAGUGCUUCUGGGAUGUAUUUACAUUUCUCCCUUGUUUUUUUUCGUCUGUGUUUGGUGUUGAGAUGUGCCUGUGCUUUUUGUAGUUGUGACAUCGAAUGAGUUUUAGUUUGCAGCUGAAUUUACUUGUGUCAAGCUGGCCAUCGUGAGGAGGGCUGCUGGUCCAGGAUCUCAUUUUCCUGUGAUCUUAAUGUGUUUGGAGAUACUCUUUUUUCGUCACCUGUUUUAGCCUUUUGAGCAUGCAAGCAUUAUUAUCACCCUUCCUGAACACGAGAAGAGGCAGUAUUGAAGUGUGUUUAAUGGAGUCUUGGAAAUUAUCUAAAAGGUAAAGAAUUCUACAUCUAUGCAUCCUUUUGAGCAUAUGAGCAUCAUUACCACCCCUUCCUAUAUACUAGAUAAGGCAGCAUUCAAGUGUCCUUUAUGGAUACUUGAAAAUGGUCCUAUUAUUUGUUUUCAUUAACUGCUUACGUAGUUGCUUCAAAAAAACAUGCCACUUCCUUAUUGGAGUGCAUCAUAGAUCUCCAAAAUAUGUUUUCUUUAAUCAAAUACAAUUUUUUUUUACUUUAAGGUAAAAAGAUAUAUUAGAUCCUCUUUAGCAAUUGACAAUGGAAUUAUUAGUUCUAUAUCCACAAAAAAAAAUAAGAUGGCGAAGAUAGUUUGUAGAAAAAUAAAAUGAGUUGAUGUAUGUAUUGUUCAUUUUGAAAAAACUUAUAUAAUUUUUAGGAGGUGUUGAACUUAUAUUAUUUUUUGGAGUAUUGGACUUGUAUAAGUUCUUAGAGUCUUGAAGAAGAAAGUUUUUGUAUAACUUUUUGAGAACUUUGGAAUUUAUUAUUGUAAAAUUGAUUUCAAAUAUUAAUAGAUGUGUAUAUAUGUUAAAUAGGA
Molecule: long non-coding RNA, 1396 nt
Organism: Zingiber officinale
Lineage: Eukaryota; Viridiplantae; Streptophyta; Magnoliopsida; Zingiberales; Zingiberaceae
Exons: 3
Source: RefSeq, a predicted model, not a curated record